CCUGGACCCAUUCUCCGAUCGGUCCUCCAGAGCGCGCGCCACCAUCGACCACGCCAAUUCGGCGUCAGCUGGCUUCCCGCCUCUCUACUUCCCAUCACAACGCUCGCCCAAGGCUCGAUGGCGCCGGAUCGCAGGCGAGCAGCUACAGACGCGAGAAAAGCCUCNGCGA
Molecule: long non-coding RNA, 169 nt
Organism: Neotoma lepida (desert woodrat)
Lineage: Eukaryota; Metazoa; Chordata; Mammalia; Rodentia; Cricetidae
Rfam family: Adaptive response 33 conserved region 4
Source: Rfam